This 468-nucleotide ribosomal RNA is filed under the name uncultured bacterium. RNAcentral's name for it is "partial 16S ribosomal RNA". It matches the Rfam family "Bacterial small subunit ribosomal RNA", at positions 28 to 507 of the family's 1533-position model. The record is from RNAcentral.
GACGAACGCUGGCGGCGUGCUUAACACAUGCAAGUCGAACGGAAAGGCCCUGCUUUUGUGGGGUGCUCGAGUGGCGAACGGGUGAGUAACACGUGAGUAACCUGCCCUUGACUUUGGGAUAACUUCAGGAAACUGGGGCUAAUACCGGAUAGGAGCUCCUGCUGCAUGGGGGGGGUUGGAAAGUUUCGGCGGUUGGGGAUGGACUCGCGGCUUAUCAGCUUGUUGGGGGGGUAGUGGCUUACCAAGGCUUUGACGGGUAGCCGGCCUGAGAGGGUGACCGGCAGCAAUGAGACUGAGAUACGGCCCAGACUCCUACGGUAGGCAGCAGUGGGGAGUAUUGCACAAUGGGCGGAAGCCUGAUACAGCAACGCCGCGUGCGGGAUGACCGCCUUCGGGUUGUAAACCGCUUUCGCCUGUGACGAAGCGUGAGUGACGGUAAUAGGUAAAGAAGCACCGGCUAACUACGUG